RNAcentral lists this ribosomal RNA (1195 nucleotides) under Bacteroides thetaiotaomicron. RNAcentral describes it as "bacterial SSU rRNA". It matches the Rfam family "Bacterial small subunit ribosomal RNA", at positions 1 to 1185 of the family's 1533-position model. The record is from RNAcentral. Lineage: Bacteria; Pseudomonadati; Bacteroidota; Bacteroidia; Bacteroidales; Bacteroidaceae.
CUUUUACAAUGAAGAGUUUGAUCCUGGCUCAGGAUGAACGCUAGCUACAGGCUUAACACAUGCAAGUCGAGGGGCAGCAUUUCAGUUUGCUUGCAAACUGGAGAUGGCGACCGGCGCACGGGUGAGUAACACGUAUCCAACCUGCCGAUAACUCGGGGAUAGCCUUUCGAAAGAAAGAUUAAUACCCGAUGGUAUAAUCAGACCGCAUGGUUUGAUUAUUAAAGAAUUUCGGUUAUCGAUGGGGAUGCGUUCCAUUAGGCAGUUGGUGAGGUAACGGCUCACCAAACCUUCGAUGGAUAGGGGUUCUGAGAGGAAGGUCCCCCACAUUGGAACUGAGACACGGUCCAAACUCCUACGGGAGGCAGCAGUGAGGAAUAUUGGUCAAUGGGCGCAGGCCUGAACCAGCCAAGUAGCGUGAAGGAUGACUGCCCUAUGGGUUGUAAACUUCUUUUAUAUGGGAAUAAAGUUUUCCACGUGUGGAAUUUUGUAUGUACCAUAUGAAUAAGGAUCGGCUAACUCCGUGCCAGCAGCCGCGGUAAUACGGAGGAUCCGAGCGUUAUCCGGAUUUAUUGGGUUUAAAGGGAGCGUAGGUGGACAGUUAAGUCAGUUGUGAAAGUUUGCGGCUCAACCGUAAAAUUGCAGUUGAUACUGGCUGUCUUGAGUACAGUAGAGGUGGGCGGAAUUCGUGGUGUAGCGGUGAAAUGCUUAGAUAUCACGAAGAACUCCGAUUGCGAAGGCAGCUCACUGGACUGCAACUGACACUGAUGCUCGAAAGUGUGGGUAUCAAACAGGAUUAGAUACCCUGGUAGUCCACACAGUAAACGAUGAAUACUCGCUGUUUGCGAUAUACAGUAAGCGGCCAAGCGAAAGCAUUAAGUAUUCCACCUGGGGAGUACGCCGGCAACGGUGAAACUCAAAGGAAUUGACGGGGGCCCGCACAAGCGGAGGAACAUGUGGUUUAAUUCGAUGAUACGCGAGGAACCUUACCCGGGCUUAAAUUGCAUUUGAAUAAUCUGGAAACAGGUUAGCCGCAAGGCAAAUGUGAAGGUGCUGCAUGGUUGUCGUCAGCUCGUGCCGUGAGGUGUCGGCUUAAGUGCCAUAACGAGCGCAACCCUUAUCUUUAGUUACUAACAGGUCAUGCUGAGGACUCUAGAGAGACUGCCGUCGUAAGAUGUGAGGAAGGUGGGGAUGACGU